Molecule: long non-coding RNA, 1177 nt
Organism: Pseudophryne corroboree (corroboree frog)
Lineage: Eukaryota; Metazoa; Chordata; Amphibia; Anura; Myobatrachidae
Exons: 4
Source: RefSeq, a predicted model, not a curated record
GUCCCACACAAACGGUACCUGUGAGAGAGGCAGCAUCCCGGCGGGCAGCUCUGGUGACAGAGCAGAGAGCCGGGUACGGAGACGCUGGCAGAGAGGCAGUCCUGGUAGCGGCGAUGCUAGAGACGCUGUAGGCAUGGAAAUAGGCGCUGGCAAAAAGGUAGUCUCGGUGACAGUGAGGCUGGAGAACGCUGCAGGCAGACAAAUAGCCCCUGGCGGAGAGGCAGUCCCGGUGAUGUUGGAGAGCCAGAGAGCUGUGCAAUAGAGUGCGCAGGCAACCAGAGUAAGAGGGAGAACGGUGAGGAGUGAGAUCCUGUCAGUGCUGAGGACUCACUGAUUGGUACAAGAACUACAAUAAGAGGUACCUAGACUAUCUGUCUUACAAUAAUCAGACAGAGGGGGUGGAGAGGCAGAGCGUAGAGGAACAAGAGGAACAGGAGGAGUCGGGGGAGCUACCAGAGGUGGGAAUGUUUGUUGGAACGGUCUAAAGAAUUUAUUGACGCUGAUAACCCAACUAUAGUUGUACAAUAAAGCUGUUAUACUUACCGCUGCCUGACUCUUCUGCUAGGGGACCCGACAUGCCUAAUGGAGAGAAAACAGGUGGGAAUGUUUGUUGGAAUGGUCUAAAGAAUUUAUUGACGCUGAUAACCCAACUAUAGUUGUACAAUAAAGCUGUUAUACUUACCACUGCCUGAUUCUACUGCUAGGGGACCCGACAUGCCUAAUGGAGAGAAAACAGAUGUCUUCAGCAAAAGCAAUGCGGAGUAACUACCAACCCCAAAUAAAGUGGUACUGCCCAAUUUGAUCUGAUACCAGGUAAAACACCAACCAGAAACCCAGGCCAUGUCCAGUUAUAUUGAAGAAAACCUUGAUCAUGAGAUCAUCACAACAUCCUCCUCACUUGCAUCUGCCAGAUUCUUUUUCCUGGAGAAAAAUAGAAGUGGGUCUUCAUUCUACCAUAGAACAUUGGGCUGAAAUAACAUUACUUAAAUAACAAGUAUCCGCUAUCUGUAAUAUGAUUUCUCAUAUAUUGGUGUGGGGACGGAACUGUCUGAAAGGCAACUAACUGGGAAGUUACAGCUUUGUUCUUUUUUCUUCAAAAAUUCUCUCCAAAAUUACAGAUUAAGGCAAAAAGGCUUAUUAGCAAUAAAACUGACUCUGGAAGAAUGGAGACAUCUCC